GACCUCAGAUCAGGCAAGGCUACCCGCUGUAUUUAAGCAUAUUAAUAAGCGGAGGAAAAGAAACUAA
RNAcentral lists this ribosomal RNA (67 nucleotides) under Zoanthus sansibaricus. RNAcentral's name for it is "partial 28S ribosomal RNA". It matches the Rfam family "Eukaryotic large subunit ribosomal RNA", at positions 1 to 68 of the family's 3401-position model. Lineage: Eukaryota; Metazoa; Cnidaria; Anthozoa; Zoantharia; Zoanthidae. The record is from RNAcentral.